AACGAACGCUGGCGGCAUGCCUAACACAUGCAAGUCGAACGAGACCUUCGGGUCUAGUGGCGCACGGGUGCGUAACGCGUGGGAACCUGCCCUUAGGUUCGGAAUAACUCCCCGAAAGGGGUGCUAAUACCGGAUAAUGUCUACUGACCAAAGAUUUAUCGCCUUUGUAUGGGCCAGCGUUGGAUUAGCUAGUUGGUAGGGUAAAAGCCUACCAAGGCGACCAUCCAUAGCUGGUCUGAGAGGAUGAUCAGCCACACUGGGACUGAGACACGGCCCAGACUCCUACGGGAGGCAGCAGUGGGGAAUAUUGGACAAUGGGCGAAAGCCUGAUCCAGCAAUGCCGCGUGAGUGAUGAAGGCCUGAGAGUUGUAAAGCUCUUUUACCCGGGAUGAUAAUGACAGUACCGGGAGAAUAAGCCCCGGCUAACUCCGUG
RNAcentral lists this ribosomal RNA (433 nucleotides) under uncultured bacterium. Its description in RNAcentral is "partial 16S ribosomal RNA". It matches the Rfam family "Bacterial small subunit ribosomal RNA", at positions 29 to 507 of the family's 1533-position model. The record is from RNAcentral.